This 628-nucleotide ribosomal RNA is filed under the name uncultured bacterium. Its description in RNAcentral is "bacterial SSU rRNA". It matches the Rfam family "Bacterial small subunit ribosomal RNA", at positions 8 to 612 of the family's 1533-position model. The record is from RNAcentral.
AGAGUUUGAUCAUGGCUCAGAACGAACGUUGGCGGCGUGCUUAACACAUGCAAGUCGAACGAGAACGGCUUCUUCGGGAACUCAGUAAAGUGGCGCACGGGUGAGUAACGCGUAAGUAAUCUACCCUCGCAUCUGGAAUAACUACGGGAAGCUGUAGCUAAUACCGGAUACGAUCAUAUAGUUACGAUUAUAUGAAGAAAGAUGGCCUCUUCUUGAAAGCUAUCGUGCGGGGAGGAGCUUGCGUACCAUUAGCUAGUUGGUAGGGUAAUGGCCUACCAAGGCAACGAUGGUUAGCGGGUCUGAGAGGAUGAUCCGCCACACUGGAACUGGAACACGGACCAGACUCCUACGGGAGGCAGCAGUGAGGAAUAUUGCGCAAUGGGGGAAACCCUGACGCAGCGACGCCGCGUGGAUGAUGAAGGCCCUUGGGUCGUAAAAUCCUGUCAGGUGGGAAGAAAUGCAUAUGGGUUAAUAACUCUUAUGUUUGACGGUACCACCAAAGGAAGCACCGGCUAACCCCGUGCCAGCAGCCGCGGUAAUACGGGGGGUGCAAACGUUGUUCGGAAUUACUGGGCGUAAAGCGCGCGUAGGCGGUUUGUUAAGUCAGAUGUGAAAGUCCACAGCUCAA